GACGAACGCUGGCGGCGUGCUUAACACAUGCAAGUCGAACGGAAAGGCCCUGCUUUUGUGGGGUGCUCGAGUGGCGAACGGGUGAGUAACACGUGAGUAACCUGCCCUUGACUUUGGGAUAACUUCAGGAAACUGGGGCUAAUACCGGAUAGGAGCUCCUGCUGCAUGGUGGGGGUUGGAAAGUUUCGGCGGUUGGGGAUGGACUCGCGGCUUAUCAGCUUGUUGGUGGGGUAGUGGAUUACCAAGGCUUUGACGGGUAGCCGGCCUGAGAGGGUGACCGGCCACAUUGGGACUGAGAUACGGCCCAGACUCCUACGGGAGGCAGCAGUGGGGAAUAUUGCACAAUGGGCGGAAGCCUGAUGCAGCAACGCCGCGUGCGGGAUGACGGCCUUCGGGUUGUAAACCGCUUUCGCCUGUGACGAAGCGUGGGUGACGGUAAUGGGUAAAGAAGCACCGGCUAACUACGUG
RNAcentral lists this ribosomal RNA (468 nucleotides) under uncultured bacterium. Its description in RNAcentral is "partial 16S ribosomal RNA". It matches the Rfam family "Bacterial small subunit ribosomal RNA", at positions 28 to 507 of the family's 1533-position model. The record is from RNAcentral.